CCUACGGGUGGCAGCAGUGGGGAAUAUUGGACAAUGGGGGGAACCCUGAUCCAGCCAUGCCGCGUGUGUGAAGAAGGCCCUCGGGUUGUAAAGCACUUUCAGUGAGGAAGAACGCCUGGUGGUUAAUACCCAUCAGGAAAGACAUCACUCACAGAAGAAGCACCGGCUAACUCCGUGCCAGCAGCCGCGGUAAUACGGAGGGUGCGAGCGUUAAUCGGAAUUACUGGGCGUAAAGCGCGCGUAGGUGGCUUGAUAAGCCGGUUGUGAAAGCCCCGGGCUCAACCUGGGAACGGCAUCCGGAACUGUCAAGCUAGAGUGCAGGAGAGGAAGGUAGAAUUCCCGGUGUAGCGGUGAAAUGCGUAGCGAUCGGGAGGAAUACCAGUGGCGAAGGCGGCCUUCUGGACUGACACUGACACUGAGGUGCGAAAGCGUGGGUAGCAAACAGGAUUAGAUACCCUAGUAGUC
RNAcentral lists this ribosomal RNA (465 nucleotides) under Vreelandella stevensii. RNAcentral describes it as "partial 16S ribosomal RNA". It matches the Rfam family "Bacterial small subunit ribosomal RNA", at positions 338 to 795 of the family's 1533-position model. Lineage: Bacteria; Pseudomonadati; Pseudomonadota; Gammaproteobacteria; Oceanospirillales; Halomonadaceae. The record is from RNAcentral.